UAAUGUAGCUCAAUGGUAGAGCAGCUCAUUCGUAAUGAGCAGGUUGGGGGUUCAAUUCCCUUCAUUA
RNAcentral lists this transfer RNA (67 nucleotides) under uncultured Eubacterium sp. It matches the Rfam family "tRNA". From Rfam's summary of the family: Transfer RNA (tRNA) molecules are approximately 80 nucleotides in length. The record is from RNAcentral. Lineage: Bacteria; Bacillati; Bacillota; Clostridia; Eubacteriales; Eubacteriaceae.